CUGCCACCCAUUGGUCCCACGCCACGUUCACUAAACCCAUGGCCCCGAUAUUGUGCCACAAAUCUUGUGUCAAAAAAAAAAAGUGCCACAAUACUUUUGUUCUUGUCGAAACAGACUGGAAACGUGUAAAUCCCCAAAUGGGCGUGGGGGGGGGCAUUGAAACCCUUCAGAGUCAGCUCUGGCUAAAAGCGCCAACUCAACUCUUGCAAACCGGGCUCGUCAACGAGCGGUAACCUGCAAACAGGACGCCGAUAAUAAACAGAUCGAUGACUGAACUAGGCGGGUCUUCCUUCUGGAGAGACGCCGAGAGAGAUGGUCCGGGAAAGGAAAAACUGGUACAGCUCCUCCGGAUCGAUGGCGGGAGUCCAGGGAGAAACAGAUCAGCAGAGCCGCUUGGUUACUCUCGUCUCUCAGGUCCCCCUCGCCACGCGCAGCGCGGCGCAUCUUCAUCUUCCUCCUCCUCCUCCCGGCAUCAACAAAGGGACUCCGCGCGCGUCCCCGCCCGUUCCCGCCUAGCCUAGAAUAACGGGGGGGGGGAUUCCAGGGGGCGGCGCUCGGCCACGGACCGUCCGGCGAGGGCGACGGGGAGAAGCGCCGCGCACACACACACACGCCUCUCCCCGGCAAACUUAACAGGGCUCGUCUCGUGCUAGGUGGUGAGAGGCACCUCCUUUCCUAGCCGCGGGGAGGCGACCAAGGUCGGCGAGGAACUUGCAGGGAAGGGAGUGGGAAGGAAGAAAGCACGGAACCCGCGAGGGAGAAAGGGAGGCAAGAGGCGAGGAGGCACUUGGCGGGCGAGAGCACGGCGGGGGGCAUCAUCCCUCGCGCGUCCUGAGCUUUAGGGCGAGCGACGCCCCAGCAGCCGCCCCCUCCCCCGAGGGAAGCCGAGACUCAAUGCUUUGUUUUACAAGAAAUUUAUUGGUAAUUUGCCUCUGAAAAAAGGGACACUUAUUGCUCGUAACAAGCCUAUGGUACCCUGCCUUCAAGAAAUCAGGAGUUGGAAUCAGAUGUUUUCAUGUCUAAUUAUUGGAGGUUUAUCCUGUGCAAGGAAACCAGCAGUUGCAACUGUUUUUCAAAAGAGAACCAGACUAAUGAUGGGAAAGAUGACAUGGACCACCGCAUUGUGGUGUCAGACAUCAUCCGGCUUGUGCAGGAUAAACAGAAGGUGCUGGCCAUACAGGAAGGUAGAGUCAGAUACUAAUUCCAACAUUUUGUCAGGCCAAAAUGUUUUGAGCAGCAUUUCACAAUUUAAAAAAAAUCUGUGUGAAUGAUAAGACUUCAGUCCUAUGCACACAUAUAUGGGAAUUUAUCCCAUUCAUUACACUGCUCCUUUCUUACUUGAGAGUAAGCAUGCAUAGGGUUGCUCUGCAAAGGAAUACUGAGUUUAAAAUGGAACAGCCAGGAAAGGGCUAGCUGCAUGUCUGUUAAAAUAAUCCAAGGUUGCAGAUGGAUGGGAGGCUUUUUGUGGGUGAUUUGUCCACAGAUAAAGCCCAGAUAAAUGGCUAGAAUACAUUCUUAAAAUGGAACUUAUCCCCAGUGGACUAAAAAGAACUUUGUAAUGGAGAAAAGACCAUAAGGCACUGAUACGGUUGCUUUCUUUAGAAAUCUGAAGAACUUGUCAACUAACCAAGGGAGCAAGUUAAUUUCCUUGUGCUCUAAAGGAGCAGCACCUGAAGAGAUGGAUCUGAAAUAGGAAAAAAUCAAGGAAAAUAUUAUGAUAGCAAAAACUGGUCAGCAGUUAAACAGAAUAUCUCAUGAUGGCAGUUGACACUUCUUCUUAGAAUAUAUUUUAGCAGAGGCUUGUUGGGCACUUAUUGAGGACGUUACAAUAUUGGAUUCUCUGCAUUAUCAGAGAGUUGGUUUAGUUUAUCUUCAAAAUCCUUUCCAACUUUGUGAAUCUAAAUGCUGUAAUGCCUGCUGCAAUAGUGGACGCACGUUUGUAUGAUAUAUCUUUUGUAUGCUCAAUGCCUUUCCAGCAAGGUUCCCUCUAAGGUGCAUGGCUGCUUUAGGGUGCAGUGCUGCACCCUCAUCAGCACAGCAUUCCUCCUCCUCCAUGCACCCACAGCGAGGAUUUCCGGCCCCUUUGGAUUUGGUUGCAGCAGAACCUGGAGUCAUGUGUGGAGGCGGAGUCAUGCACACAAGGAGUGGAGCCCCACCCAGAAGGGCUGAAAAUUAGCAAGAAUGUUGCUUCCUAGUCUAGUCCCUAAAGCAGGAGUCCCCAACCCCCGGUCCAUGGUUUGGUGCCGGUCCAUGGUUUGGACCGCCCCGCUCGCCCAUCCCCCCCUGCACGCACUCUCUUGGUGCACGCCCACCGGCACGCACAGCCCGGCCACCCAUCCAUGCAUGUGCCCCCACCCAUGCAUGCGUGAGCACGUGCCCCACCCGGCCGUGAGCGUUCCCUGCCUACCCAUAAGUGUGGGGGUGCCCUGCCCCCCAUGCAUGGACCCCCCCCUCCCAACCAGUCUGUGAUUCGGAAAAGGUUUGGGACCACUGCCUUAGAGUACUGGAUAGCAAAUUCUAAAGUUGCAAGUAUGGCAUGAAACAUUAAUCCUUAUUCAUGGUGAAGGAAAGGGAUUAAUCAACUAAUUUUACUCUACCGUGAGAGGUAUCUUGAUAUUGGGAAUGCAGAUAAGCCAAAGCAGUAGUAACAAUUGUAUUUUAUUGUGUGAAUUGCUGAAUGUUUUUCUGUGUCAGUGCAUGUAUUUGUGCAUGCUUGGGUAUGUACAUAUGUUUGUGCACAUCUGCAUUUAUUGUGUGUUAUUAUGUAAUCUGGGACCUAUAACAUUUUGAUUCUUGAUUUAUAACGUAGUAUGAUGUCUAUACUGAUAAUUUAUUUUUAAAUUAAUAACAUUUUAAAAACUUACCUGAAAUGCUGCACAUUGACAGCUGCAUAUGCAUUUUUGCUUGGAAUAAAUCCCAUUGAGCUCAAGGAGACCUAUGUCUG
Molecule: long non-coding RNA, 2944 nt
Organism: Pogona vitticeps (central bearded dragon)
Lineage: Eukaryota; Metazoa; Chordata; Lepidosauria; Squamata; Agamidae
Source: Ensembl